ACUGACUCCAUCCGUGAGUGGUGCGUCGGCGGAGCUAUGAAUGGGCAGAGAGGGGUGUACUCUCACAGACACCAUAGCAGCAGUGAGAUGAGGAGUGUCAUUUACUCCACUGCACGCCUACUGUACUGAGAGGAGAAAAGAGAGGGAAGGAGCUUUCAGUUUGAGCUAAGCUUCAUGUCCAUUGUACAUCUGGAUGAAUAACAAGCAGGUUCUGGAUUUCUAAAAUAGUUCUUCUAAUGGGAGCUCACACCGCCUUAGAGAGUCCUGCAAAAUAUGUGUAAGUGCUGUAAAACAAAACCUGUCCAGCCGAUCGAUGCAGGCACAUUAAUGUGGAUUGAAAGAUUGUGCACAGUUGAAGGGCAGUCUUCAAUCAGUCUUCAGUGGGUUAAGAAUGAAAAGAUUAUGGAGUCAUAACCAUGACUCGGGUAUCAGGUGAGAUACACAUGGCUCAGCUGUGAUUCCGACAGAGGGCAGUUGUGCUGGUCAGCUACUGACUUAAUACAUCCAGCUGGGUGUAGUUGGGAUGUGUGCAUGUCCCACCUGAGUGUGACAAAACAGACAGCACAUCAUCAUCAAUUACACGGCAUAAUGUCCUUGACACUGAGCCAUUUUCAUGUGCUCUCUUCCAUCACUGCUCACAUGCUGACCUUGGUGCUCCAGCCAUCUCGCUGUGUGUUGUCUGUGGUAAAACAGCCCAUUUUAUUACACAAAUCCUGGCCACGUGAAGAUUUGCGAUCAGCAUGUUUGCAGACACUUGUGUGGUGGCUGAGAAAUGUCAGACACUGAUUUUUAACUCCUGGUUUGAAUUCCUCCCAAAAGACUUGAAACCAUCAACACAUGGCUGAAGCGAUACAGGCAUCCAGUGUCAUCACUGUUUGACUAAAUCAGCGAAUGAAACUAAUGACUUCUUAUUGUGUUUCCAGGAGGGAGUGAUUUGGCAGACCUUUAGGUUGAGCAGGAAGAAGGCAGGAGUGACAGUGCAGAGGCAGAACACACAUCCACAGGAAACUUAUGCUUAAGGAGCUCUUGUCAUGUUCUUUUUCUCAGUUAGGGAGUUAAUUAGUGUUGACCCGGACGCAAAGAUAGGCUCUGUGUGAGGUUCUUUCAGGGUUAUGGAUUCAAACCUCCGGAAUAGAUUUGCUUCUUACGUAACGCAGAUGUGAACAGCAGCGUUUAUUAAGGAUCGUAAAGGCUACGUAGUCAUUAAACUUUUCUGCCUUAUCUUUUUCCUUCUGCUGCAUCUCAAAUUGAGACUGUUUGUUCAUCCCUGCAGAACAAAACUUAUUCAGUAGCUUUAAAUGGUAAAGAUUGCUUUGCAUGUGUAUGCUCCCGUCUGUAGGGGCAUGUAAAAGCUUUAUGCAUGUACAUUUCUUUUUAUCUAUAUCAAAAAAAGAGACGUGAUGAUUUCGAUGUGCCACCUUGAUUGUUGCUCAUGUGGACUAAUCGUUGGCGAAGUGUUUCUAAAAGCCACAGGGGUUUUUAUCUCUGCUACAAAGGAGCUGGACUUCCACCCGCCUCAGUCUAACCUAUACGAUCCUCCACUUCUUGGCUUCGUCUGCAGUGGAAGAAUUUCUCUUCUACACAAAGAUGAAAAGACGGUAACAGAGGAAAGCAGGGGUUGACAGAGUGAGGCAAGCAAGCAAAUCAUUCACAUUUAGGUCAUUUCCUUCAGCGAGUUGGUCAGAAAGAGCACUCAGGACUCUUUGAAUGCCUGCCCUGCCAUCAAGCCUCAGAUUAUCCUCAGCUGUCCCUCAAAGGACUAUAAUGCACAUUUUAAAGUAAGUGCAGAGAGUUCAUCAUCCCUCCUGGCUGUACCUACCGAACAAACAUACAUGUUCUGCGGUAAUGGAACUUGUAUAAAAGAAAGCAGAAACUCCACUGGUACUGACCAAGUGGAGUAUUUCUGGCCUCACUGAAUAUCACAUAUAUUCCACUUCAGGUAGGACUUUGUACCAGAGUUCCCUGCAGCAUCAAAAGUGAUGCCACCAUGAUGUCAGCCAUCACAGCGAGUGAGUGCGCUCCCGUUGAUCAUUUCCUAUUCAUUCUUUAUGAGCCCUGGGCUAAAUGCUUCCUGUAAGCUUAGGCAGAACUGGAGCCCAGAAUAGUAGACUGUUUGACUUCAGUCAGAGUGUGUAUGUAUAUAUGUGUGUAUAUGUAUAUAUGUGUGUAUAUGUGUAUAUAUAUAUAUGUGUGUGUGUGUGUGUGUGUGUGUGUGUGUGUGUGUGUGUGUGUGUGUGUGUGUGUGUGUGUGUGUUUGGCAUUCUAGCCUCAUCAGUAAGUAAUAAGUAAAUUGUAAUUCCAUGCAUCUUGGAAAGAGAUAAGCUGUCUGUUAGAUGUGCUACAUUUUGAAAACUCAGCAAUGAUUGACGCUUUAAAGGCUCUGAAAAAAAAAACACAGCUUUUUGUGAAAUGACUCAGUUGCCUCAGUUACAUAAUGGUAAUGUUGCAUAUGUCUCUGCACCAAUCAGGAUUUAGAAACAGGUAUUUUUUUAAUGUAGAAACAUCAAGGAUAUGAAGUUAUUUCUGUUACUAUCACAUCAUUUUUCAUAUUUAUUAGGUUGCAAUAUGCCAAAUUACAUUAUUAAUUCAAUUUACAGUUAUUUUUAUACUAUUCAUUCACAACAGCAGUCACCUCAAGUUCAUUUAUAUUAUAAGGUAAAGACCCUACAAUAUUAAAGAAACCCCAAGAAUUACACAACCUCCUCCGAGCAAACACCUGGUGACAGUGGGAAGGAAAAACUCCCUAUUAACAGGAACAGACCUUCAGCAGAACCAGGCUCAGGGUGGGACACCCAUCUGCGGUGACUGGUUGGGGGGGAGGGGAAGGAGAAUAGAGGACAGAGAGACAGAACAAAUGGCAAAUCAUAGGAAAAAGAGCCAGAAAAAAAAAAUACUGGCAAAAGUGAUAGAUCCACUUAGAUGGUGUUUCUGCUAUUCUCUGCAGGAUGUAGACAAAAGCAUCAGAAAACUACAAUAACUUCCUAAUUUUAAAGUUUCCGCUUUCAAUAAUGUUGGUUCCCAUGUUCAACCAAGAGCUUUUAAGCUCAAGUCUUUUGUUUGAAAUACCUAUGACAUAUUUUAUUUCUUCUUUUUGAACAGCAGCACUGAACCACCCCUUCACACCAUUAGAAUCUCAUCGGUGUGCCUGACAGAGAGAAGCAGACAUCAAAAGGGAGGCUGAUGGACUGUUAAAAAAAGAAAGGGAAAAAAAGUCUCUUGUUCACUGAACCAGACCCAGUGGUGUUUUGUCCCUCAGCCAACAGGGCUCAUGACUCCAGCUGUGGCCCUGGCUGUGACUGUUGCCUAGUGUUCUCUGUGGUCUUUCAGUUCUUGAGGAAUCACUGUUUGAGUAACUGUGUGUGUGUCCUUGUUCAGAGCAGUCCUUUUCACGAUUUUAUUUGCUGUGACUUGCUGUUUUGCUUUCAUCCUCUGAGCUAAAGUUGAGCUUCUGUUAUGUCAACCAUUAGGGCUCCAACAAGCAAUGUUUAUAUACUGAAAUACAAUUUAAAAAAAAAUAUUUGGUGGAUUUAUGUAUAAUCAAACAAGGUCAGAAGAAUUACCACCCCUUCUUCCCCCCCACCGCUCCUUUUUUUUUUAAAAGUAUGCCUGUUUUGCCAGUAGAGAAAAUUGAGCCAAGCUAACCUGUAAUCAGUCAUAAUUUUUGCUUCUAGUGAAUCCCAAAGCUAAAAACAAACAACAGGACACUGAAAUCUGCAGUAGUGUAUCUCUGAGUCAGAGACACCCUCUAGUGAGAAGAGCUCAUAACUGCACACUCUCUUGCUCCACUUGGAUCUCUUGCAGUGGAUCAGACCGCUUAGGGCAAGAUUAAUUGUUUGCAUUUUACUGGAUAUAUUAAUGACUUUCCCUUGUCUGUUGUUGUUGCGUGCAGUCACGCUUUUUGAAAGUUUCUCUCGUUUUUUCUCCUAACCUUUUAGUUGCACAGCCAAAGUUUGCAAGAAAAACAGAGUGAUCCAUCCUAAGUCCCCACAGCCCCGAACUUCUGAGGAAAAACUUUCAAGUCAGCCAUGGAGCAGAAGACAAAUGAGUGUCCCACCAGCACCUCUCCUCAGAAACACAUGAAAAAUAGGUCUAAGUCCACAGAGGAGGUACAGCAGUCAAAGAAGGCCUUUUCCUCACAAAAAUCACUCCCAGGCAGACCAGAGCUGGAGAGAGUGAAGGAAUGUCCUGAUGGCUCUGAGACACCGUCAUCCUCCAGCGAAGAACUGAAAUGAUGAACAAAGCCAAAAAAAGAUGCCAUAAAGCUACAUCAUCAUAAACCUGAGACAUAAAAUGUGCAGAUGUACACAGCGGAACAUGCAGAAUAGUAUAUGAAAAAAAUGCAAGCCGUGAAUUGAUUAAAAGGAGAGAAUUGGACUAAAACACACACACACACACACACACACACACACACACACACACACACACACACACACACACACACACACACACACACACACAAAUUCACCCUACCGCUGAAACAACAUGUAUGUGAACAAAAGGACACCUGUGAUGAUAUUGUUUCAUUGUACUGUGAGUGGUGUAUACAUGCCACCUGAAUGUGUAGUAACAAUAAAGUGAUGUUGCUGAGUGAAUCUGUGUUUACUAACCUCCACUAAGCCAACUGCCAAAUAAUAAGGCUGUCGGAAACAAUACAGAUAGAUGAUGGUGUGCAGCAGAGGAUGAAAGAAGCACAGCUUAAAAUCGAAAUCUUUAUGAAAUCACCCAAUAAUAUGUAAGAUUAUCCCAUCGAUGCAUUCAAUGGCAGUCUCAGUGUAUUUUUAAAUAAAAAUAAAUAAAGGUGCUGAUGUUUAAGGACGGAAGAGCUGCUUCAUCACACAUAAAUAUAUGUAUCAUUAGUUUCAAAUGUUCUUUUCACCCUGCAACGUCUCCUGCAGUUUUUUUUUUUUUUUUUUACAAACUUGCAAGGUCCGAAGCCCAAUUUGAAAUCUGGCAACCUUCUGCCACCCACGCAAUCCUUUAAUCAUAACUCUGAUUACUGCAUGAAACUACGAUGGAGUGUUUUCUUCUCGGUGAUUUAUUUUGAUUUGCUUGUUGAAGUUCUGUUGAUUGAUUUGCUCGUUAAAGCCGAUUCUCUCUUAUGAGCUUUACGUCUGCCACCUACGAUAAGAAGUCAUUUAAAUUCCAUGGGUUUUAUUUUAAUAGUUGUGAUUGCUUUUUGUUUUUAAUUGUAAAAUGCGCCUCCUUGGCCAGCAAGCCUGCAGGCCUAACUUCAGCACCCACUAGGGGGCUGCAGCAACCACUUUGGGAAUCGCAUAAUCUGAAACGGAGGCCGUACAUGUGGCAGGAUUGACGCUUGUUCCUAAACCAGCAGCUUAGGUGCUCAAAUCCUGAAAUCGAGUUGAUUAU
Molecule: long non-coding RNA, 5367 nt
Organism: Astatotilapia calliptera (eastern happy)
Lineage: Eukaryota; Metazoa; Chordata; Actinopteri; Cichliformes; Cichlidae
Source: Ensembl